GAACGCUGGCGGCGUGCCUAAUACAUGCAAGUAGAACGCUGAAGGAGGAGCUUGCUUCUCUGGAUGAGUUGCGAACGGGUGAGUAACGCGUAGGUAACCUGCCUGGUAGCGGGGGAUAACUAUUGGAAACGAUAGCUAAUACCGCAUAAGAGUAGAUGUUGCAUGACAUUUGCUUAAAAGGUGCAAUUGCAUCACUACCAGAUGGACCUGCGUUGUAUUAGCUAGUUGGUGGGGUAACGGCUCACCAAGGCGACGAUACAUAGCCGACCUGAGAGGGUGAUCGGCCACACUGGGACUGAGACACGGCCCAGACUCCUACGGGAGGCAGCAGUAGGGAAUCUUCGGCAAUGGACGGAAGUCUGACCGAGCAACGCCGCGUGAGUGAAGAAGGUUUUCGGAUCGUAAAGCUCUGUUGUAAGAGAAGAACGAGUGUGAGAGUGGAAAGUUCACACUGUGACGGUAUCUUACCAGAAAGGGACGGCUAACUACGUG
Molecule: ribosomal RNA, 492 nt
Filed under: uncultured bacterium
Lineage: Bacteria
Description: partial 16S ribosomal RNA
Rfam family: Bacterial small subunit ribosomal RNA
Source: RNAcentral